Molecule: long non-coding RNA, 701 nt
Filed under: Vulpes vulpes (red fox)
Lineage: Eukaryota; Metazoa; Chordata; Mammalia; Carnivora; Canidae
Description: lncRNA (ENSVVUG00000021646.1)
Source: RNAcentral
AUUACACCAAUCAUAGAGGAUGGCUCUUCUGGAGGGUACCUGAUUAGUGAUUUUCAUGGUUAAUAUUUUACUGCAGCAUAGCUUUGCAUUACCUUGGCCUAUACAUGUGCCAUUUCUAAUUGUUUGUAUAUAACAGUCCAGAGUUUUGUUUUUGGAAAGCCUGUGAAACUAAAAACAAGCUCAGAGGAAAGAGUACAUGAUCAGUUUGGUGUCUACAUUGAACAAGAGGGAAGAGUGUCCUCCAUGUAUCUGCCGACUGUGAGAUCCUGGCCUAGUGCUAUCCUAUAUAACUUCUGAAUCUUCACUAUGACACUGAUGGAACCACAGAGUCCAUGAUAUUGCACCAGAUGCAACCUAGUGCAAAGUCUGGGGGAUGGAGAGAGUGUGGUGAAUGGAGCUUAUUCCCUCAACAUUAAUGAAUCCAUAGUUUUAGACUGUCUCCAAAAUAGGAGCAUAUAUUCACAUCCAUCAAGACCACCUAAUCCCAUCUGAGCUGCCAGAAUGACAAACGCUGCAUGAAUGACCCCAGACUAGACCAACAGAAGACCAUUCACUUCAACCUACCUCAAAUUGCUUAUCCACGGAAUUAUGAGUAAACAAAAUGGUUGUUUUAAAUCACUGGGUUUGUGGUGGUUUGUUAUACAAAAAAUAGAUUAGUAAUAUAAUUUGUUAAACAGUAAUUAAUGAGUGUUUAAUAUGGG